This 334-nucleotide unclassified non-coding RNA is filed under the name soil metagenome. Its description in RNAcentral is "partial contains 5.8S ribosomal RNA, internal transcribed spacer 2, and large subunit ribosomal RNA". The stretch from base 1 to 120 matches the Rfam family "5.8S ribosomal RNA", at positions 35 to 154 of the family's 154-position model. The record is from RNAcentral.
GAUGAAGAACGUAGCGAAAUGCGAUAAGUAAUGUGAAUUGCAGAAUUCAGUGAAUCAUCGAAUCUUUGAACGCACAUUGCGCCCGCCAGUAUUCUGGCGGGCAUGCCUGUUCGAGCGUCAUUUCAACCAUCAAGCCCUGCUUGCGUUGGGGUCCUGCGGCUGCCCGCAGGCCCUGAAAACCAGUGGCGGGCUCGCUAGUCACACCGAGCGCAGUAAUACAUCUCGCUUUGGGCGUGCGGCGGGUUCUUGCCGUUAAACACCCCCUUUUUACCAAGGUUGACCUCGGAUCAGGUAGGAAUACCCGCUGAACUUGAGCAUAUCAAUAAGCGGAGGA